RNAcentral lists this transfer RNA (73 nucleotides) under Anaerolineae bacterium CFX7. Its description in RNAcentral is "tRNA-Arg". It matches the Rfam family "tRNA". Rfam says of the family: Transfer RNA (tRNA) molecules are approximately 80 nucleotides in length. Their secondary structure includes four short double-helical elements and three loops (D, anti-codon, and T loops). Lineage: Bacteria; Bacillati; Chloroflexota; Anaerolineae. The record is from RNAcentral.
GCCCCCGUAGCUCAAAGGAUAGAGCGACGGACUUCUAAUCCGCAGGUUGCGAGUUCGAGUCUCGCCGGGGGCG